RNAcentral lists this long non-coding RNA (204 nucleotides) under Elaeis guineensis (African oil palm). RNAcentral's name for it is "long non-coding RNA (EGUI_LNC053624)". Lineage: Eukaryota; Viridiplantae; Streptophyta; Magnoliopsida; Arecales; Arecaceae. The record is from RNAcentral.
CCAUGCCUUGCGAACAAGGGGAUCAAAGGAUCCCCUAUUCCAUGAAGGAAGAAGAGGAAAGGAAGAGGACGUGCGGUCCUCUAUUUUUUUUUGGAAAAGAAAAAAAAAAGAAAAAAAGGAAAAAAAAGAAAGAGAGAGAUUCUCUCUUCUCUCUCUCCCUUCUUCCUGAGUUUGAGUCUUCAUUUUCUCUCUCUAAAAGUUUUA